GCCAAGUACCUGAGAGGAUCCAGCUAUAAGAAUAUUUGCUGGGCUUCAUGACAGCCCAUAUGGCUUUGCACUGGCUGCCAGAGUUUGGCUGAAUUAAUUAGAUCAAAUCAAAGAAGAGAGCCUAAUGGGAUAUUGCUUUUUGGUCCGUUUUUUCUCUCACAAGACCCAAUACUGGAUGUAAUUAAUCAGUCAUGUGACAAAAAUGGCGAAGGUUGUUUUUGUUUUGUUUUCCUUUAGUUUAGUUUAAUUUUGUGAAAGGUUUUUCUGCAAGGGCCAUGGACAAAUAUUUAACUUAGUUGCUUUUAAAGAUAAGAAUAAUGAACAUGAAGCAAAUCCAAUGAAACAAAAGAUUCUACCAGGAAUACUUCAAUAUUAGGAGCAGUCAAAGGGUAAGGAGGAGAAAGAAAGACAGAAGAAAUAAAGGAGAAAAAGAACCACAACAAAAGGAAAGGCACAAGGCAAGACUCAAGAAGAGGGAGGAAGUGCAUGAGGAGGAGAGCUGGAGAGCUCCGGAGGAAGGGCAGACACAGCAUUCAGGAAUAGAACAAUCCAGAAGGAGAGGGAAUGGCUCAGAAGCCGCAGAGAUGAUGGGAGCUAUAUUUCAUUAUUGGCUGUAAUAGAAAAAGAAGGGACUGAAUGUCUGUAAGAUGAAGCCCAUGAAGCCAUUUCAAAACCUACAAUUGUCUUCAUAAUUGGGAAAUGCGGUAGAAUUCAAUAAAAUAAUAAGAAAGUGGAAUGUAAUAUUUCAGCUUAACUCAAUAUCCAAGACCAUCUGCCAAGGACUUCACUUUCUUCCUCUGCUGGAGGAUGUCAGUCUUUCUAGCAACUGAUUUGCAGCCGGCAAUUGUUCACCUUGGG
RNAcentral lists this long non-coding RNA (858 nucleotides) under Equus caballus (horse). Its description in RNAcentral is "lncRNA (ENSECAG00000045099.1)". Lineage: Eukaryota; Metazoa; Chordata; Mammalia; Perissodactyla; Equidae. The record is from RNAcentral.